UUCCUUCAUAGCACUGGCGAAAUUUCUUAUUUCAAGAAAUUAGGAACAUUUUGGUUUCCUCGCUACAGCCGUCCUCUCCAUCGUCGCCGCCCAUGGCAUGGUCGAACGGCCGCCGCCGCGGAUCUGUCGACUGCAGCCCGAGCCAUCGGCGCCGCCGCCACGCCGCAUUAAUUACGGCGUCCCCUAUGCAAAACAAAAGCAUCUUCUGGUGGAUCUUCCAGCCAUCAAGCUUGCAGAUAGUGCAGAGGUUACAGAAGAGACCAUAUUAAUAUCAUUGAGGCGAGCCCUUGCUCAACACUCUGCUCUGCAAGCGGACGAUGGACACUGGGCUGUCGACUUCAGUGCAAUUAUGUUCAUUAUGCCUAUCUUGAUAUUUGCUCUCCAUGUACUGGAUCACUUAAUACAGUCCUAUCAACAGAACAUCGACGCGAGAUUUGUCGCUAUAUUUACAACCAUCAG
Molecule: non-coding RNA, 459 nt
Organism: Lolium perenne
Lineage: Eukaryota; Viridiplantae; Streptophyta; Magnoliopsida; Poales; Poaceae
Source: RefSeq, a predicted model, not a curated record